GGUUCACGGUCACCUCGCUGCCCCCCGCGGGGCCCGCCAGAAGCCCUGACCCAGAGUCCCGCCGGCAUUCGGUCGCAGACCCCCGCCACCUCCCGGGGGAAGACGUCAAAGGAGCUAAUAAUCAGAGGCUGCUGAAGGGCAUGGAUAUGACUGCAUCCUUGUCUCUUCUGUGGAGGCAAGACCACUUUUAUAAGUUCUAUCAAUGAAGAGAGUCCUAAACUGGAGUAAAGCAAACUGGAUGCUAGACC
RNAcentral lists this small RNA (248 nucleotides) under Pongo abelii (Sumatran orangutan). RNAcentral describes it as "processed transcript". Lineage: Eukaryota; Metazoa; Chordata; Mammalia; Primates; Hominidae. The record is from RNAcentral.